UACGUAGGGGACGAGCGUUGUCCGGAAUUACUGGGCGUAAAGGGUGCGUAGGUGGUUUCUUAAGUCAGAGGUGAAAGGCUACGGCUCAACCGUAGUAAGCCUUUGAAACUGGGAAACUUGAGUGCAGGAGAGGAGAGUGGAAUUCCUAGUGUAGCGGUGAAAUGCGUAGAUAUUAGGAGGAACACAGGUGGCGAAGGCGGCUUGCUGGACGGCAACUGACGUUGAGGCUCGAAAGCGUGGGGAGCAAACAGGAUUAGAUACCCCGGUAGUUCCUGAGCGGGCU
RNAcentral lists this ribosomal RNA (283 nucleotides) under uncultured prokaryote. RNAcentral's name for it is "partial 16S ribosomal RNA". It matches the Rfam family "Bacterial small subunit ribosomal RNA", at positions 524 to 805 of the family's 1533-position model. The record is from RNAcentral.